This 242-nucleotide ribosomal RNA is filed under the name uncultured bacterium. RNAcentral describes it as "partial 16S ribosomal RNA". It matches the Rfam family "Bacterial small subunit ribosomal RNA", at positions 15 to 240 of the family's 1533-position model. The record is from RNAcentral.
GAUCAUGGCUCAGGAUGAACACUGGCGGCGUGCUUAACACAUGCAAGUCGAACGGGAAUUACUUUAUUGAAACUUCGGUCGAUUUAAUUUAAUUCUAGUGGCGGACGGGUGAGUAACGCGUGGGUAACCUGCCUUAUACAGGGGGAUAACAGUCAGAAAUGGCUGCUAAUACCGCAUAAGCGCACAGAGCUGCAUGGCUCAGUGUGAAAAACUCCGGUGGUAUAAGAUGGGCCCGCGUUGGA